UGAUGGUUUAACCCCUUCCCUUGUUA
Molecule: transfer RNA, 26 nt
Filed under: Amazilia rutila (Cinnamon Hummingbird)
Lineage: Eukaryota; Metazoa; Chordata; Aves; Apodiformes; Trochilidae
Description: partial tRNA-Met
Source: RNAcentral